This 447-nucleotide ribosomal RNA is filed under the name uncultured bacterium. RNAcentral's name for it is "bacterial SSU rRNA". It matches the Rfam family "Bacterial small subunit ribosomal RNA", at positions 355 to 825 of the family's 1533-position model. The record is from RNAcentral.
UCGGGAAUUUUGGGCAAUGGGCGAAAGCCUGACCCAGCAACGCCGCGUGAAGGAUGAAGUAUUUCGGUAUGUAAACUUCGAAAGAAUAGGAAGAAUAAAUGACGGUACUAUUUAUAAGGUCCGGCUAACUACGUGCCAGCAGCCGCGGUAAUACGUAGGGACCAAGCGUUGUUCGGAUUUACUGGGCGUAAAGGGCGCGUAGGCGGCAAUUCAAGUCAUCUGUGAAAUCUCCGGGCUUAACUCGGAACGGUCAGAUGAUACUGCUUUGCUAGAGUGCAGAAGGGGCAAUCGGAAUUCUUGGUGUAGCGGUGAAAUGCGUAGAUAUCGGGAGGAAUACCAGUGGCGAAAGCGGCUCUCUGGUUCAAUACUGACGCUGAGGCGCGAAAGCAAGAGGAUCAAACAGGAUUAGAUACCCACGUAGUCCCUGAGCGGGCUGGCAAGGCGCAU